CUAGUCGCAGUGUUCGAAGGUUUUGUACCCAAUAGAUGCGUCCCCCUGUUUUGGUUUUAGAUCACAAGUCCAGCAAUUCAGGUAAGUUUUCUUGGACAUAAAUUUCAAUUUCUGUUUUUAUUUGCUUGGAUUUGUGUUGGGUAUUACAUUGGGACAAUGUAAGUUAAGUGUGGGGGAGGAAAUUUUGAGCUAGAAAAAUCAUUAAUAUGAAAUAGGGUUCUAAUUUUGCUGUAAUUUGGGUUCAAUUGCUAAUUUGUUUUGGUUAAAUUUUGCUGGGUAUUGUAAUAAUCAGCAGCGAUUUUGUUGGGUCUUGUUAAAAUUCAGAAGAUGAGGAGCUGCUGGAUUCUUUUUGGAAGAUUUAUUCAAAGGUUUUGAAGAAUAGAGAGGAUCAUGAGAUUUUAUUUUGAUGGAUUUGAUUUGAUUGUAAAUAUAUUUUUUCAGUUUCCUUUGAAACAGUCUUCUCUUCUCUUCUAUAAAAGGGAGAGAUGGGCUAUUAGUUGGGAUAUCAGAGUUUUUAGUUAAUAAUUCUUUUCUUUAGUUUGUAA
Jatropha curcas is the source of this 545-nucleotide non-coding RNA. Lineage: Eukaryota; Viridiplantae; Streptophyta; Magnoliopsida; Malpighiales; Euphorbiaceae. The record is from RefSeq and is a predicted model, not a curated record.